This 265-nucleotide long non-coding RNA is filed under the name Ananas comosus (pineapple). Its description in RNAcentral is "long non-coding RNA (ACOM_LNC002084)". Lineage: Eukaryota; Viridiplantae; Streptophyta; Magnoliopsida; Poales; Bromeliaceae. The record is from RNAcentral.
GCUUGUUGUGGCGUUUCCGAUCUAUUUAGAGUUCGGGGUCUUUUGAGAGAUUUUCUUGUACUCCGCCUUUUCGACAUUAAUAAAUUAUUUGCUCCGUCUUCGCCCGUGGACGUAGGCCGUUGGCCGAACCACGUAAAUAUCGGUGUGUUCUUUCCUUAUCUUUUCUUUUCUUGCAUUAAAUUAUUUUUCUGGAUCUAUUUUUCGCCGUUCCGAUUUCAACACCAUGCCACCCCAAACCCCCAACCAUAAUAGAGAAAUAAAAAAA